GCUUGUCUCAAAGAUUAAGCCAUGCAUGUCUAAGUAUAAGCCUUUAUAUGGUGAGACUGCGAAUGGCUCAUUAAAUCAGAAACUGUUUAUUUGAUAGUGCCUACUACAUGGAUACCUGUAGUAAUUCUAGAGCUAAUACAUGCAUCAAUCCUCUAUUUGAGGUGUAUUUAUUAGAUUGUAACCAAAGCGGGGUAACCCGGUAUAUGGUGAUUCAUAAUAACUUUCGGAUCGAUUUUAAUCGAUGCAUCAUUCAAGUUUCUGCCCUAUCAGCUUUGGAUGGUAGGGUAUUGGCCUACCAUGGCUUUAACGGGUAACGGAGAAUUAGGGUUCGAUUCCGGAGAGGGAGCCUGAGAAAUGGCUACCACAUCCAAGGAAGGCAGCAGG
This 384-nucleotide ribosomal RNA is filed under the name uncultured Chrysophyceae. Its description in RNAcentral is "partial small subunit ribosomal RNA". It matches the Rfam family "Eukaryotic small subunit ribosomal RNA", at positions 30 to 432 of the family's 1831-position model. The record is from RNAcentral. Lineage: Eukaryota; Chrysophyceae.